Molecule: long non-coding RNA, 1892 nt
Organism: Anopheles stephensi (Asian malaria mosquito)
Lineage: Eukaryota; Metazoa; Arthropoda; Insecta; Diptera; Culicidae
Exons: 3
Source: RefSeq, a predicted model, not a curated record
CGGCCGACAUGGAAUCGCGAUGGCGAUCUGCUCUCUCGUUGCGACGUUGGCGUUCGCAUUCACGCUUGUUGGCCGACGUCGGGCUAGCUCCUCCUCUGUCGGUGGUACACGCUUUCCCAAAGAAGUAAAAAUGCGGUUUUCGGGUAUGUUUUCGGCCUUUCUUUCGUACUCGAAACGGCGACCGAAAAUGUGUACGAGAUACAAAGACUUUUCGGACGAUAGCCCGAAGCCGACCCGAACGCCGCCGAAUGUUUGAUUUUCGGCGUUUAAAACCGGUUUUUCGGUGCGGCAGACGUGGUCGGACCACAAAAGAAAAAAACAGCUCUUCCCCCUCUUCUGCCCUCGACAAAAAUAUAUAUUUUGCUGCUCUCACGCUUGCUCUCGCUAUCGCUUUUUCCAUGUACACCAUUGUUCACAUUUUUAAUUCGCUCGCUCUCAUGCAGGUGUACGCGUCAUUCUGUUUAACGCGCCUUUUCUUGUUCGUACUUGUUCUGGUGAAGUUGUCAUCCUCAGUGUUUUUUUCCGGUGCGUGUUUUUCUAUGGAAAUUUAGGAAGAAAGUUUUGGAUUAGAAGUUGAUUAUAUACAAUUCAAGUGUUACCUGUUCUGAAUCCUCCGCGUUACCCGUUGAGCUAUUGCAGCCUUGGUAUCGUGCUCCGUUACGAGAAAGGUUUUAUGAAGUGUAUUGUCAAUUUGUUUGUUGCAGCAAAAUGUUUAACCAGACCGGUGCGCAAGAAGAAGAGCGAGCAGAGCAAAACUCUAGUGCACUGAACAACCGAAAAAGUACAUCUCCGCAGUCUCCGAAAUGUUCUUGAAGAUCAGUGAUGCACUGGGAAGGUUAUUAAUCCCGCGCCAUAAUUAAACAUUUUAAGCGUUUUGGAAUUGCCACCCCUUGCUCCGCUUCAUUAUUCCCCUCCGCAAACGCCUACCAACUCUGGUGGUAUGUUUACGCAAGCGCUACGAAACCAACCCAUCUACUCAACAACCCUGUUCACGUAACAGUUUUUCGGUUCCGGCAGCACAAUUCGGUAUGUUUCAUCAAAGUAAAUAUUUUACAUUGUAUUUAACCUUAUAUCUUUUAUCAUUUCCUGUAAACGAUGACAUAAAUAACGAUGGUAGCCUCUUUACUAAUGGUAAGAAAUUUUACUGACAAAAUAUAUAAUUUUAUCCAUCACAAUGCUAUUUUACAUUAAUUAUUUGUAGCACCGAAAAAACAUAAAAUAUGCACUGAAUCGAAUACGACUAAUAAUGAGUUGAAAAUUCUAAUUGAGCAAUUCAGUGCAAAAUUACAAAAAAAAAAAAAGAUGACAAUUUCGCUAUCGUCAAUGAACGUAUUAACGUUUUAAGCAGUCGAGUAGAUUUUAUAGAUUCAAAAAUGGAUGUAGUCAUUAAAAAUUCUUCACGCGUUACAUCCCUUAUGGAUGAAGUUGUAGCGGCAACUCGUCGUCGGGAAGGCUUGUUUCCCAGGACUGAUUUUGAAAUCAGCCCAAUCGAUUCCGAAGAAGAUUUUUUUAAAUUUAAUGAAGAACUUAACGAUCCUGAAUUUAAUAGCAAAGUAGUUAGAUGGAUGCAAGUGCAAAUCACGCGUGCAGAUGUGGAUAAUCGUCUGCACGACGCGAUUGAUUUGCUGUUUUCAAAACCUUUUUUUGCAACAUUAAAUUGGAGUGGUAUCAGCAAAACUGCAGGUGUUAAAAAAUUAGGUUUAGUUAAUUUUCAAAACUUUUUAGAUUUAUUUAUUAAAAUAGGUAGCAAUAACAAUUUAAAAUCCAAUCCAAAUUACAUUUCUUUCUUUUUAAAAAAUAAGUUGAGGAAUGCUACGGACCGUGUUAAUAUACAAAGCACUAAACGCACAUCGUGCCACACAGUGAAACGUUCGUAGUAUUCCUCAAAUUUA